AGGGGAUGGGGUUAGGGAAAGGUUCUACACCAGAGGGCAGCACGCAUGGAACGGCCUCAAGCUGCUGGAGUUUGAGGAACAUUUGAACAACACUCAGACAUAGGGUUUGAACUUUAGGUGAUUUGAGUGUGGAAGAUGGAGCUGGACUCAAUGAUUCUUGUGUGUCCCUUCCAACUUGGGAUAUUCUAUCGCUGAACACCUGUAAGUGCCAGCAUCUCAGGGAGAUGUUACUGUAAUUAAACAGAUGGAAACCUAGACCACGUUAUAUGGUCUAGCAUAAUGAGGGUAUAUGUUCAGUGGUAGAAGAAGACCUGGGAAUGUCCCUUUCGUUCCCUUUCUGAUAUCCAGUGACUUACACCAAGCAUUGCAGUUCAGCUAAAUAAUAUGAAAGAAUUAAUAAAUAUCUCUGAGAUUCUCUGUAUUCCAGUAGAGGACCCUACUAUUUACUGACCAAUGUAGCAAUCUGCCACCUCUUAGGAAGAAAGCCUUAUUCGCAUACCAAUUUGUCUUGUUUCCUACAAAGACUAUUGGAAUGGAGAAGGGAAAGAAAAGACUAGUAAAUAAAAGCAGCAUUAUUCAUGGAAUAUCCUUUUAUGUUGGAGCAAGAGGGCUGUUCUAAAAAUUAAUGGUCAUCUCCUUCCUGCUUGUCAAAAGAUGCAAUCUGCGCUAAAAGGAGUCUCACUUGCCUGCCUUAGGACAUACAUUUCUCAAACGUGGGUGCAAUUCAAAUACUACAGUUCAAGCCAGCUGCUGGUCCUAAUAUCAAGUUCCUGUUGACAAACAAUACGAAUCAUGGCACUUUUGUGUGACUGAGUUGAUAUUCAACACAGAAACACUCCUCCACAGAGUCACAAGACAGACUUGAAAUUAAAAUAAUUUUCAAAGCAAAUUGUAGGUGAAAAACAAAAGGAGAUAAGAUUGAAAAUUGGAAGUAAUGGGAAAAUAAAGAUGAGGUGUUAGUGCUACCUAAUUGUUUUCAUUUUUUCAUAAUAAAAAUGAUUAUCUCU
This 1007-nucleotide long non-coding RNA is filed under the name Gallus gallus (chicken). RNAcentral's name for it is "lncRNA (ENSGALG00010003362.1)". The record is from RNAcentral. Lineage: Eukaryota; Metazoa; Chordata; Aves; Galliformes; Phasianidae.